Molecule: long non-coding RNA, 3975 nt
Filed under: Homo sapiens (human)
Lineage: Eukaryota; Metazoa; Chordata; Mammalia; Primates; Hominidae
Description: non-protein coding lnc-ATP2B2-1:3
Source: RNAcentral
UGCCCAAAUGAAUGGAAGUAGGUGGGCUGGCUGGUCCAAGGAGGAGUAAAUUUGGGAAUCGGAAUCGGGCGGGCAGAAAUACUUGUCUCUCCCCUGGAAGAUCUGCACUUAACGGCAGUUGCGCCUCUUUCAUUGGACACCAGGGGGCGGAUAUUUCUUACAAAUGAGGACAUUCUCUACCUAACCACAAGCACCAAAAUCAGGAAAUUUACAUCAAUGCAUUGUAACCACCUAAUCCUCAGACUCCAGGCAAGUUUAACCAGCUAUCCCGAUAAUGCCUUUCAGAGCAAGGGAUUCGGUCCCGAAUCCUGCACGGCAUUUAGCUGUCAUUUCCCCCUAGCCUCCCUCAUUCUGGAACAGCUCCUCAGUCUUCCAUAGACUUGCACAACCUUGAUGCUUUUGAAGAUUUUAGGCUACGUAUGUUGCAGGAGGUCCCACAGCUCCAGGAUUUUUGCCUGGAUGAAGUUGUUACUAACACAGUUGCCAAAUGGUGAUUUCCUGAUUCCAUCAUUCCUCCUUCUCCUCCUCCUCCUUCUUGGAUUCCUUGAUCUGCCUCAGAGGGUAGGGAAAUGAGUGAGUGCCUCUAACUUGAUUGAGCUCACCUGUGGUACAACAUUACCUGUCUGCAUUCCCACCUCAUGCCUUCCUACAGGACUCACAUUUAUUCCCUGUCUUCCAGCUUGUGGAAUGGCAGACGUUCAUAAGAAUGAGAUAAAUUUGGGUUGGUUCCAAGUCCUUGCUAUUGUGAAUAGUGCUGCAGUAGUCUGGAUUAAGAAAAUGUGGCACAUAUACACCAUGGAAUACUAUGCAGCCAUAAAAAAGGAUGAGUUCAUGUCCUUUGUAGGGACAUGGAUGAAGCUGGAAACCAUCAUUCUCAGCAAACUGUCACAAGGACAAAAAAACAAACACCACAUGUUCUCACUCAUAGGUGGGAAUUGAACAAUGAGAACACUUGGACACAGGAAGGGGAACAUCACACACCGGGGCCUGUUGUGAGGUGGUGGGACGGGGGAGGGAUAGCGUUAGGAGAUAUACCUAAUGUAAAUGACGAGUUAAUGGGUGCAGCACACCAACAUGGCACAUGUAUACAUAUGUAACAAACCUGCACAUUGUGCACAUGUACCCUAGAACGUAAAGUUUAAAAAAAAAUGAGAUAAAUUUGGAGUUUUAUGAGAGGCACCCCUCACAUCUUAGUGCUGCACUGCAAUGUGCUGCCCCUCAAGCUCAGCUGAGAUAAAAUAUCUGGCCUGCAGUAAGGCUCAACAAUUGAUAACCCCUGCUAUGCCUCUGCUCUUCAAAUGGUCGAGUGAGUUGGGAAAUGCUCCAUUCCAGAGCAUUAUUGGAGAUUUAUCAUAAUGCAAGUUAGGAUAAUACAAACCCUACUAGUACAGACUCAUAGUUUGCUUCUGGAAGGUGGGGUCUGUGCCUUCCUUAUCUCUGAACUCUCCACAGUGCCAGCAGCUCAGAGCUUGUCACAUAAUAGAUAGGCAGCAAAUGCUAAACAGACCAACAAUAGGCUCACUGAAGGGCUUGGGGUGUAGCCUGUGGAAUCCCUGGAGUGGGCUGCAGACUGGAGACAGAGACCCAGGGAGGGUUUCAGGUAUGGGGUGAUGGAAGCUCUGGCUAAAAUUCUCUCCUCCUUUCCCUCUGUUCUUGAUGUUCUGCCUUUCAGUCCCAUGUCUGUAGCCUCUCAAAGGCAUCGCUGCAUCUCUAACUGCCCUGCAGUGGUCCCAGCCUCCAUCACCCCAUAGCUGAAACCCUCCCUGGGUCUCUGUCUCCAGUCUGCAGCCCACUCCAGGCAUUCCACAGGCUACACCCCAAGCCCUUCAGUUAACUUAUUGUCUAUCCACAUCCAUGCCAGCUCCUUAGUCUGGCAUUCAAGACUUACAACUCUCCAUCCUGUGGGCUAGUCCCAUCCCCAGGUAGAACCCGGAAUCCACGUUUAAGCCAGCUUGUACCAAGGAAUCCUGCUUCACUGCAGGAUAUAUUAAUAAAACCACUCCUGGUUUCUUUAGAUUAAUAUUUGAUGGUAUACUCUUUUCUAUCCUUUCCCUUGAAGCCUCAUUUGUAUCUUUAUAUUCAAAGUGGGUUUACUGUAGACAGCAUGUAGUUGGGUCUUGCUUUUUUAUUGAGUCUGACAACACUUGUCUUUUAACUAGAUAAUAAGCAUCAUUUAAAUUUAAUGUGAAUAUUGAUAUAAUUUAGUGUGAAUCUACCAUCUCACCAUUUGCUUUCUAUUUGUCCUAUCUGGUCUUUGUUCAUUUUCCCUCUCUUUUUUCUGCCUUUUUGGGAAUGUUUUUAUGCUUCUUUUUAUCUCCCUUGUUUUUAUCUCCCUUGUUAGCUUAUUAUAUGCUCAAUUUCUUAGUGAUUGCUUUAGAGCAUACAACUUAUAACUUUGAAUUUAUCACAGUCUAUAUUCAAGUACGAUUCUGAAAAUAUAAUAAUUAUAUUAUGGAAUAUAAGGACCCUACAACAGAAUACUUCAUUUUACCUUGCUUGGCUUUCGUCCUAUCACUGCCAUGCAUUUUACUUCUACUUGUAUAUAAACCAUGUAAUUUAUUAUUAUCAUUGCUUUAAAUAGUUAAUUAUAUUUUUAAAAUAGUUUAAAGUAUAUUUUUAUUACCUCAUAUGUUGAUCAUUUCCUGUACUUCUCAUUCUGUUGUAUAUAUCCAUAUUUUCCAUGUAAUUAUAAUUUUUCUUCUGCCUAAAGGAAUUUCUUCAAUAUUUUUUAAAGUGUUGGUCUAUUUGUGGUGAAGACUUUCAACUUUUAUAUGCCCGAAAAAGUCUCUAUUUCACCUUCAUUUUAAAAAACCAGCUUAAUUGGGAUAUAAUUUGCAUAUUAUAAAAUUCACCCUUUUAAAUUGUAUAAUUCAGUGUACGAUUCAACCAUCACCACUAUCUAAGUUUAGAACAUCUUUAUCGCCCCCAAAAGAAGUCCUGUACCCAUUUGUAGUCACUCCUCAUUCCAUUCCUCCCGCUUUAAUAACCACCAUGCUGUUUGCUAUUUUUCCCCAUUUCUUCUCUUGGCAAUCAAGGCAGCAUGGAGAUGGAACCUCCCUCAGUCUGGUUCUCUGAGUGAGAAUGACACAGGGCAGAGCUCACAGCCAACCCAUGAUGGACAUGUAGCAUCAGUGAGAAGUAAGCCUUUGUUUUAAGCUAUGGCACACUGGUCAUGUUUGUUACUGAGCAUAACUCAGUCCAUUCUAACAGAUGCCAGUAGGGCAUGGACUGAAAUAAUCACAACUUGUUUGGAGAUGUUUUUGAGUCUUUUCAUUCCUUCAAGAAUGAUGCCAAAAAUGUUAGUGUUUGAGGUAUUACGAACACAAAAUGGGGGAGAGACACAGCUCUGCAAGGUAAUGGCUAGUCUCCCUACUGUGCAUGGCAUUUGUUGACUUCUCCAGUUUCACCCUGUCCUCAUCUCUCCAUGCUAUGCCUGACAAGUCCACAACAUCUUUGAAAUGGGACACUUGUUUGCACAUCUCCAGGCCUUUACUCAUGCUCUGCCUAGAAUGGGACAUAUCGCAGGAAAUCAUGUUAUUUGUUGAGUGGCUUGGGUGGAGACAAGCGUGUGGGGGAGAGGGGAGCAUUGGGCUUUUUCUGUGAGGCACAGAAGGCAGAACACUUAGGACAGAGAGUGAGAUUCCUGUGCAAUGUGAACGAGUUUGUUACCAAUAGAGCUUGGUCUGGCACAGGAAUGAGCUCACCACACUAGAAAGUUUCCAAGCAGAGGUGGGUGUCAUGGAGGGGGAUCCAGGUCAUCAGAAGUAUAGCACACUCUCCAAUCCUGUCUCACAUGACUUUCAGGAAGAUUGCCCAAAGUAGGUUGAUUUUAGCUGGAACUAUAUAUGUAUUUUUUCUCUUUUCAAAAUAAAAGUAGCUUUUUUCACAUUGUCUUAGUCUGUUUGUGCUAUUGUAAGAGACCACUUGAAACCGGGUUAUUUAUAAGAAGAGAAAUGUAUGCGUUCACAGUUCUGA